RNAcentral lists this ribosomal RNA (468 nucleotides) under uncultured bacterium. RNAcentral's name for it is "partial 16S ribosomal RNA". It matches the Rfam family "Bacterial small subunit ribosomal RNA", at positions 28 to 507 of the family's 1533-position model. The record is from RNAcentral.
GACGAACGCUGGCGGCGUGCCUAACACAUGCAAGUCGAACGGCAAGGCCCUGCUUUUGUGGGGUGCUCGAGUGGCGAACGGGUGAGUAACACGUGAGUAUCCUGCCCUUGACUUUGGGAUAACUUCAGGAAACUGGGGCUACUAUCGGAUAGGAGAUCCUGCUGCAUGGUGGGGGUUGGAAAGUUUCGGCGGUCGUGGAUGGACUCGCGGCUUAUCAGCUUGUUGGUGGGGUAGUUGCUUACCCAGGAUUUGGCGGGUACGCCGCAUGUGAAGGUGACCGGCCACAUGGGUACUGAGGUACGGCCCAGACUGCUACGUUAGGCAGCGGGGGGAAACCUUGCCCAAUGAGCGCGAGCCGGAGACGGCAGCGCUGCGGUCGGGAUGACGUCCUUCGGGGUGAAAACCGCUGUCGCCUGUGACGAAGCGGGAGUGACGGUAAUGGGUAAAGAAGCACCGGCUAACUACGUG